AACGGCGCGCGGCGAGCUGAGGGUGGCGGCGGUCGACAUGUUCCAGGGCCCGCACAGCGAGGGCGGCCGUGCCGGCUCCAGGGCCAUGAAGCCCCCAGGAGGAGAAUCGAGCAAUCUUUUUGGAAGUCCAGAAGAAGCUACUCCUUCCAGCAGGCCUAAUAGGAUGGCGUCUAAUAUUUUUGGACCAACAGAAGAACCUCAGAACAUACCCAAGAGGACAAAUCCCCCAGGAGGUAAAGGAAGUGGUAUCUUUGACGAAUCAACCCCCGUGCAGAGUCGACAGCACCUGAACCCACCUGGAGGGAAGACCAGUGACAUUUUUGGGUCUCCGGUCACUGCCACUUCACGCUUGGCACACCCAAACAAACCCAAGGUAUGGACUGCAUUCAGACGUGACAGCGCAGCAGCAGGUAUGCCAGGUGCUCUUUCUAAAAAGGCUCCAAGGCAGAUGCGACAUGUUUUUCGGGAGAAUCACGGUGGGUGCCGUGGAUUAUCCUGGAUGCAAGCAUUAGUCAUCGAGUUUGGAAGUUCCCCUGAGUCACCCAGGAAACAGUCCAGCCUUGUGCUGACUGAAGCCGUGGGGGCAGCUCUUCCUGUGCUGGUGGCGGACGCCCACUGCAGACAGGCUGUGGCGGCUCCUCACUGCAGCUCUGCGGAGCGCAGAGAAGAGGUGGGGAACGGAUCAUGCCGCAGAGGAGCUGGGCCCUUGUCCGUCUUCCACUCUUCCUGUUUCACCUUGGAAAGGAAAAGUGACAGUUCUUUUUUGAUGGGCUUUUCCCUGCACAGUCGAGGUCCUCGACUGGUUACCUGUGCAGAUUGUCAGCACUUGACUGAAGUGUAGCUGACGCCUCUGACCCA
RNAcentral lists this small RNA (858 nucleotides) under Pongo abelii (Sumatran orangutan). RNAcentral describes it as "retained intron". Lineage: Eukaryota; Metazoa; Chordata; Mammalia; Primates; Hominidae. The record is from RNAcentral.